UGUUAGUCUGUGUCUCUUAAUUGUUUCUUUGUUUUCGUUCUAUCUCUAAGUCUGUUUGUUUUUAUCCUCUUUCUUUUCUUUUUCUUGUCAGACUUUUUGUCCUACUCUUUUCUUUUUUCAUUUCUAAAAUGAAAACAGGAAUGAAAGAUCAACUUUGCUGAGGAUUUUUGUGUUGAAAGUUUCCUGGUGGGUCGUCAGACUCACUGAGGAGGAUCCGAAGCGAAGCUGUCUCUGCUGUGACUUUAUCUAUGACCGUCAGAAACUUCAAGAAACGCUGAAAACGUCAUCCCGACUUUUUAUUGCUGCUCAGUUUCAUCAUUUUAUCCUGUGGAUCAUGAAUUAUUUUUGAUAUUUUGUACAAUAAAGCAAAUUUAUUCACA
Xyrichtys novacula (pearly razorfish) is the source of this 380-nucleotide non-coding RNA. The record is from the annotation of a GenBank genome assembly. NCBI's taxonomy places the organism in Eukaryota, Metazoa, Chordata, Actinopteri, Labriformes, Labridae.